GAUGAACGCUAGCUACAGGCUUAACACAUGCAAGUCGAGGGGCAUCAGUUUGGUUUGCUUGCAAACCAAAGCUGGCGACCGGCGCACGGGUGAGUAACACGUAUCCAACCUGCCUCAUACUCGGGGAUAGCCUUUCGAAAGAAAGAUUAAUAUCCGAUAGCAUAUAUUUCCCGCAUGGGUUUUAUAUUAAAGAAAUUCGGUAUGAGAUGGGGAUGCGUUCCAUUAGUUUGUUGGGGGGGUAACGGCCCACCAAGACUACGAUGGAUAGGGGUUCUGAGAGGAAGGUCCCCCACAUUGGAACUGAGACACGGUCCAAACUCCUACGGGAGGCAGCAGUGAGGAAUAUUGGUCAAUGGACGCGAGUCUGAACCAGCCAAGUAGCGUGAAGGAUGACUGCCCUAUGGGUUGUAAACUUCUUUUAUAUGGGAAUAAAGUUGUCCACGUGUGGAUUUUUGUAUGUACCAUAUGAAUAAGGAUCGGCUAACUCCGUG
This 491-nucleotide ribosomal RNA is filed under the name uncultured organism. RNAcentral describes it as "bacterial SSU rRNA". It matches the Rfam family "Bacterial small subunit ribosomal RNA", at positions 28 to 507 of the family's 1533-position model. The record is from RNAcentral.